Melitaea cinxia (Glanville fritillary) is the source of this 520-nucleotide RNA transcript. It is a transcript of the gene named ferredoxin-dependent glutamate synthase 1-like, with no coding region annotated. The record is from RefSeq and is a predicted model, not a curated record. The transcript has 3 exons. NCBI's taxonomy places the organism in Eukaryota, Metazoa, Arthropoda, Insecta, Lepidoptera, Nymphalidae.
CAUUCACAAUCAGUCAAUCGCGUACCACCGGCUACAGUAGUCGACUGCGAGGGUCACUACGAAUCGCCGGCGUUUUUAGGGUUUCAAACUAAUAAACUACAUUGAACUUCGUAUUUUCUGGUUAUUCGUAUAUAAAUUUUGCCCGUGAAAGUGCAAAGUUUAAGUAGUGCUACUCUUAAUCACAGUUUCUUACUUCAAUUGAACUUAUUUUGAGGUAUGGAGUGGGAAGGGCCGCCCAAGCAAGGCUUGUACGACCCUCAGAACGAGCACGAGGCUUGCGGCGUUGGUUUUGUUGUUGCUAUCGACGGGAAACGUUCUCAUAAAAUCGUUCGAGAUGCAGAAACUCUCGCAAAACGUAUGGAACAUCGUGGCGCCUGCGCAUGCGACAACGAUACCGGCGACGGCGCCGGAGUUCUGACAGCUAUACCGCAUCAAUUCUACUGCGCUCAGCUUAGGUAAGUACACAAACAAAUAUACAACUUCAAAUAAAGGCAGCUAAAAUGAAAAUAAAACCACUUGA